CGAAGGCAGCUUUCCAGUCCUUAACUGACGCUAAAGCUCGAAAGUGCGGGUAUCGAACAGGAUUAGAUACCCUGGUAGUCCGCACGGUAAACGAUGGAUGCCCGCUGUUGGCGAUAUAAUGUCAGCGGCCAAGCGAAAGCGUUAAGCAUCCCACCUGGGGAGUACGCCGGCAACGGUGAAACUCAAAGGAAUUGACGGGGGCCCGCACAAGCGGAGGAACAUGUGGUUUAAUUCGAUGAUACGCGAGGAACCUUACCCGGGCUUGAACUGCAGCUGAACGAUCCAGAGAUGGUGAGGCCCUUCGGGGCAGCUGUGGAGGUGCUGCAUGGUUGUCGUCAGCUCGUGCCGUGAGGUGUCGGCUUAAGUGCCAUAACGAGCGCAACCCUUUUCAUUAGUUGCCAUCAGGUUAUGCUGGGCACUCUGGUGAUACUGCCACCGUAAGGUGUGAGGAAGGUGGGGAUGACGUCAAAUCAGCACGGCCCUUACGUCCGGGGCUACACACGUGAACAAUGGGGGGUACAGAGAGUUGGUAGUUAGCAAAUGCGAUAUAAUCCUUAAAGCCAUCCUCAGUUCGGAUUGGGGUCUGCAACCCGACCCCAG
Molecule: ribosomal RNA, 600 nt
Filed under: uncultured bacterium
Lineage: Bacteria
Description: bacterial SSU rRNA
Rfam family: Bacterial small subunit ribosomal RNA
Source: RNAcentral